Molecule: non-coding RNA, 3543 nt
Organism: Anas platyrhynchos (mallard)
Lineage: Eukaryota; Metazoa; Chordata; Aves; Anseriformes; Anatidae
Source: RefSeq, a predicted model, not a curated record
AAUGUCUUACCAGGAACACAAAUCCCUGUUACUGGUGGUAGACCUAGCUGUAAAACACUAUUCUGUCAGGAAAUUAUGGUAUCCUAAUGAUGAUUUCCAGGAGAUUAAGGUGCUUGUACUGAUGACCAUUUUGGAGGUUGCAUCUAUCAACCCCUUUCACACAGAUGCAUGUGGUUAUGUUGUUGUUUGCUCCACAUACCCUAUAGCUUCCUUUCUGUCUGCUGUUAGACUGGGGGAAAGCAGGAACUGCCAUCUUCUCUGGAGAACCAGAGGCUUACUUUUUGGAGAAAAAGUCAGAUGCUGGAUGGAAGAGGUGACCAGAUGACAUGUUAAGAAGUGACCCACCCCAUGUUGUGUAUGACACUUUGCAGUGCAGCAUCUUUUCUGUGAAGGUGAAGUUCAGCUGGAGCAAAACAGUUCAUCACUGUGUGAGCUGAAGACCAAUCUACUGCCCAGUUCUGCAAAAGCUUAGUAGAAAAUUUACCAUCCUACUUCAAGCUCUGAAGAGUGUGAAUUUCUUUAAGCUCUAAUUUUUCUCUUUAUAAAAUUUGUUCUAAUUUUAUAAACUGUAUAUGUUCUAAUUUGUUCACAGACAUAAUGUGAAUUGAAUUACUUAAAAGGUCGAAAGUGUGUUUGUUUUUCUGCAUUAAAAGAACAUAUCUGUCUGUCUAUCUUGUUCUCCAUCACAGAAGUAUUUAUGGCCUUUGGCAUUAUUAUACACAAAGGAGGAAAUUAAAAUGUUUCUAGUGAUUGUUCAUUCUUGUUAGGCAACUACAACAACAUUUUUCAGUACUUCUUGGUCAGUAAUAAAGACUGCUGCAUAGCUGUGAAUCAAUAGAUGAUUGGUGUAGCCUUUUCUUUUAAUUGUCACCAUCUCUACUACAGAUAGAUCAAAUCUUUUUUCUUUGGCUCUUAAGAAAGAAAUCGCCACAAUAAUAGAGCAGUCUUUAGUUCUUUUUUUUUUUUUUUUCCUCAUCACACCAGCAUGUGCAUCCAUCUAUCACUAUUGUAAUGUGCUUUUGAGGUGUGAAAAGCUAUUUGGUACACGUUCUCAGUAACUACCUCUGCAUAAUAGGAACACCAGAAUUGAGAGUACUUUUCAUUCACUGAACAACUGGAAUACUUAGUAGAUGAAUAAAUGAGCUUUUUAAGCAAGAACAUCAGAGAAGAGACAUAUAAGAUAUUAAGAACCAUAAAAAUAAUUUUCUAAAUAAUCUCUUCAUGUUUAUUUAAUUAAACUAUAUGUUUUGAUGACUCUAAAUAUUCAAUAUAUUGUUAGAUACUUACUUUCAUUUUUUUUCCACAUACAGAAAACUUACAUGCUUUACUUCUCUUUGUACCAACUGCAGUGCUGAAUACAGCAGAUUGUGACAGUAGCUAUGUAACACCAACCAUCUUAAAAGGUAAUAGCAAAAAGAAAUCUGUCAGUUAAGUACUGUCUUAGCAAUUUUGUCCUUAAGGCCCAAAGAGUUUCUAAUUUCUUUGGAACAGCAUAUACUUCUGUGUAAAAUCAAAUGGGUUAUCUAAUCUUCUCCUUGCCUUGUCUGAUCCAAGACAAAUUUUGCAUUGUAUCUAGAUAUUUUUGUGGAGUUCUCUGUGUGUUCAAAGAACCGAUCUGUGAUCUUUCUGUAAAAAUUACAACCUAUGAAAUCAAAUGUAUCUGGUAAAGAUUUUAAUCUUGUGCUCUGGGACAGAAGUAACAUCUGUCACUCUGUCAGAAUAAAUGCCUACAUCUUAAUGAUUGUGCUGACCCGUUACAUAGAUAUUUCUAUACCCUGAAUGGCAGGCAGCUGUGCUCUUUGAAUAUAGUGCCAGAAGCAGUAGGAAAGGGAAAGAUGGGGCAGAAGAUAUCCCUUCUAUCACACUGUGUACAGGAUCAGAAUAUUUAGUAUGUAAUGUUUUGCUAAGUGAGCUGUUCCACCCUCUUCUUCCCUUAGGAUCAAUUUAAGAUGAAUACUGUGUCUAGAAGGAAACACCUUUUAUUCCAGAGAAAAGAAAUGCGGCCUUACAGUAAUAUGUAUUUUUCAUUUUGCAAGUAAGUGCUAUUUUUCAAUAUUUGGGAUAUUAGCAGAGAGAAGUGCUGGGCAAAGAAAGCCAAUAUUCUUUAAAGUAUACAUUGCUGUGAUCCCAUUCUUUCAUGACUGCACAUUUUCCCUUUCUAGCCAAAUUAAUGUAUUUUAAUGUUUUGUGUAAUUCUAUGAUUCUACUGCUGUUUUAUCAAAGCAACAAUCACUUUCUGAGAGAUGAUACUUGCUCAGCUAAGAGGAGAGUCUGUGUGCAUGUCUGUAUGCCCUACCCAGCUGGGUGGCUAUGAGUUGCACUCUCAUGUGCAAAAGAAGAAGAAAGAAGACCUACUUUACAGAAACUGGAGUUAUCCAGAUACAUUGAAGACUUUAGUGCAGGAUGAAAUGACUGCUGCCUCUAAAUCUAGUCAUCUUGAAGUUCAUUGGAUCCUGCCACUUUACAGCUCUCAGUCCAGUAAUGGCACCUGGGUUUGUUUGUCUAGUCAUAAAGGAAGUCUACUCUGCUUUGUUGUUUUACCCUUGCUAGUUCCUACACACAUAAGUGUACAGAUGUUGAACCCAUUUCAGUGAAAAACAUACUGAGCUCAAACUACACACUUGUGACUAGUGUUUCAGUUGUAAUAUCUUACAUUUUAUAAAAAUUCUUUCAUCUGGGAGGCUUUGAAAGCUGCUUACAUCAUGAAGGCUGCAAAUUAUUUCUAAACAAGGUCUUACUACUUGCAAACUUAGAUGUUAUUUUGUAAAGUAAGAUAGAUUGAAUUAUUACAGUCAAAUCUUUAAUGUUACUCUUGUUUACAGCACACUUCCCUUAACAAUAAAUCUCCAAGCCCGUGGGCACUUUCAAUUACUGCAUCUUCCUUGCUUAGCAAAGGAACUCAUAAACUUCUCUUUCUGUCAGACCAUCUUGAAAGAUCUUUGUAUGUAAUGCAGACUGUGUUUCUGAUGAUGUUUAUAUAAAGAAAGACUUAUUAAAUGGAUAUCUUGUGGGGUUCACCCCUCCUUGUCUGUGACAACAGUAAAAAAGUGUUAGACAAGCUCUGGCGACAGUGCUGAGUUUUCUUUGGUAGUCUUAAUUAAUAGGUACUAAAAAAAAAAAAAGUGUAAAAAAUGUGUAAAAGGGGCAGGAAAUGCAAUGGAACUCUUUAAAAAUGGAUCCUUAAUGUUUAAGACUUUCAUGAUGUAUAAAAAUGGCAAUUAUCCCCAAUAUAAAGACUUUCAAAUGUACAGCAACAAACUUCUCAGUAUUUCAAGUUUUAUGAAUUUUAGAGAAACCCAAAGAUGCAGCUGUAAAGGCAUAGAUAUCUCUCCUGCAGCGGAACUUAUGACAUUAUUUGAAAAGGUGUCAUGUUUAUGUAAAUAGUUUCUUGACCUACACAGAUGGCAGAGAAAGAUUCAUGCUCAUUUAACAGAUGUAAAAACAAGGUAUGCACAGGAAAUGAAAUUCAAAUUUCACAAGUGUCUUUCUUUUCUAUAACAUUAAAAAAAAAAAAAAAAAGAAAAAAAAGAAAACAUGGAAGAG